Non-coding RNA from Musa acuminata subsp. malaccensis (wild Malaysian banana), 158 nucleotides. Lineage: Eukaryota; Viridiplantae; Streptophyta; Magnoliopsida; Zingiberales; Musaceae. The record is from RefSeq and is a predicted model, not a curated record.
GAACCCACUUCCAUAUUUUGCUCGUUUUCCUGAAGCAGAUAUGUUAACAUCAAGCGAUCAGAUUAGACCAACAACAACUGAUGACAGUUUGGAAGUCUGGCAGAAUGUAACUACUGCCUACAAUAUUGGAAUAUUUCAUUGGCGUCCCACUGAUGCUG